Molecule: ribosomal RNA, 420 nt
Filed under: uncultured Microcoleus sp.
Lineage: Bacteria; Bacillati; Cyanobacteriota; Cyanophyceae; Oscillatoriales; Microcoleaceae
Description: bacterial SSU rRNA
Rfam family: Bacterial small subunit ribosomal RNA
Source: RNAcentral
GGGGAAUCUUCCGCAAUGGGCGAAAGCCUGACGGAGCAAGACCGCGUGAGGGAAGAAGGCUCUUGGGUUGUAAACCUCUUUUGUCAGGGAAGAACACAAUGACGGUACCUGACGAAUCAGCCUCGGCUAACUCCGUGCCAGCAGCCGCGGUAAUACGGAGGAGGCAAGCGUUAUCCGGAAUUAUUGGGCGUAAAGCGUCCGUAGAUGGUUUUGUAAGUCGGCUGUCAAAGCACAGGGCUUAACCCUGUAAAGGCAGUGGAAACUACAAAACUUGAGUGCAGUAGGGGCAGAGGGAAUUCCCAGAGUAGCGGUGAAAUGCGUAGAGAUUGGGAAGAACACCCGUGGCGAAAGCGCUCUGCUGGACUGCAACUGACAUUGAGGGACGAAAGCUAGGGGAGCGAAAGGGAUUAGAUACCCCUG